This 188-nucleotide ribosomal RNA is filed under the name Draba lactea. RNAcentral describes it as "5.8S ribosomal RNA". The stretch from base 3 to 158 matches the Rfam family "5.8S ribosomal RNA". From Rfam's summary of the family: 5.8S ribosomal RNA (5.8S rRNA) is a component of the large subunit of the eukaryotic ribosome. It is transcribed by RNA polymerase I as part of the 45S precursor that also contains 18S and 28S rRNA. Functionally, it is thought that 5.8S rRNA may be involved in ribosome translocation. Lineage: Eukaryota; Viridiplantae; Streptophyta; Magnoliopsida; Brassicales; Brassicaceae. The record is from RNAcentral.
ACGACUCUCGGCAACGGAUAUCUCAGCUCUCGCAUCGAUGAAGAACGUAGCGAGAUGCGAUACUUGGUGUGAAUUGCAGAAUCCCGUGAACCAUCGAGUCUUUGAACGCAAGUUGCGCCCCAAGCCUUCAGGCCGAGGGCACGUCUGCCUGGGUGUCACAAAUCGUCGUCCCCAUCCUUUGCGGAUAA